UACAGAGGUCCCGAGCGUUGUUCGGAUUCACUGGGCGUAAAGGGUGCGUAGGUGGCAUAGUAAGUUUGAUGUGAAAGCUCAGGGCUUAACCCUGAAAUGGCAUUGAAUACUGCUGUGCUGGAGGUUUGGAGGGGGGACUGGAAUUCUUGGUGUAGCAGUGAAAUGCGUAGAUAUCAAGAGGAACACCAGUGGCGAAGGCGAGUCCCUGGGCCGAUAUUGACGCUGAGGAGCGAAAGCGUGGGGAGCGAACAGG
Molecule: ribosomal RNA, 253 nt
Filed under: uncultured bacterium
Lineage: Bacteria
Description: partial 16S ribosomal RNA
Rfam family: Bacterial small subunit ribosomal RNA
Source: RNAcentral